This 253-nucleotide ribosomal RNA is filed under the name uncultured bacterium. Its description in RNAcentral is "partial 16S ribosomal RNA". It matches the Rfam family "Bacterial small subunit ribosomal RNA", at positions 524 to 776 of the family's 1533-position model. The record is from RNAcentral.
UUCAGAGGUCUCAAGCGUUGUUCGGAUUCAUUGGGCGUAAAGGGUGCGUAGGCGGCGCGGUAAGUCGGGUGUGAAAUCUCGGAGCUUAACUCCGAAACUGCAUUCGAUACUGCCGUGCUUGAGGACUGGAGAGGAGACUGGAAUUUACGGUGUAGCGGUGAAAUGCGUAGAUAUCGUAAGGAAGACCAGUGGCGAAGGCGGGUCUCUGGACCGUAACUGACGCUGAGGAGCGAAAGCAUGGGGAGCGAACAGG